Molecule: ribosomal RNA, 482 nt
Filed under: uncultured Pirellula sp.
Lineage: Bacteria; Pseudomonadati; Planctomycetota; Planctomycetia; Pirellulales; Pirellulaceae
Description: bacterial SSU rRNA
Rfam family: Bacterial small subunit ribosomal RNA
Source: RNAcentral
AGGCUUUGAUCCUGGCUCAGAAUGAACGUUGGCGGCGUGGAUUAGGCAUGCAAGUCGAGCGAGAAGUUUCCUUCGGGAGACGGACAGCGGCGAAAGGGAGAGGAAUACGUAGAAAUCUACCCCUGAGUCCGGGAUAGCGUCGGGAAACUGGCAGUAAUACCGGAUAACGUCUUCGGACCAAAGGUGUGAUUCCGCUCGGGGAUGAGUCUACGCCCUAUUAGCUAGUUGGUGGGGUAAUGGCCUACCAAGGCAAUGAUGGGUAGCGGGUGUGAGAGCAUGACCCGCCUCACUGGGACUGAGACACUGCCCAGACACCUACGGGUGGCUGCAGUCGAGAAUCUUUGUCAAUGGACGAAAGUCUGAACAAGCGACGCCGCGUGCGGGAUGAAGGCCUUCGGGUUGUAAACCGCUGUCGUAGGGGAACAAAUGUAGAGGGGUUCUCCCCAUUUAUUUGAGUGAUCUUAGGAGGAAGGACGGGGUAA